This 928-nucleotide long non-coding RNA is filed under the name Scleropages formosus (Asian bonytongue). RNAcentral's name for it is "lncRNA (ENSSFOG00015025287.1)". Lineage: Eukaryota; Metazoa; Chordata; Actinopteri; Osteoglossiformes; Osteoglossidae. The record is from RNAcentral.
GCAGAGUGUCACGCGCCUGUCCGUUGCGACUGGCGAAAAAGUGGAGGAAACCGUUUACAUAUUUGUCGAGUCAAACUUGGGACGAAAUUGCAAAGCGGGAAGUAUCUAGGUCCUAGCCUACUGUAGAGUUACGCGCAUUCAUUAUAAAAACCAAGACUUGAGUUAUACGUUUCUUAUAUAAUUUGACAACCUCAAAAAUAUGUUUAAAACAAAAACGUCGGCCACCGGCACCGCUCCAGACAGAUUUUUGAGGAAAAGAAAAUGAGCAAAUCGCCACGAUCUCCAUCUAAUCUAGAAUCUUAAAACAAAGGUGUCUGACAGAAAUACAUAUGUGAAAAACGGAACUGGUUCUGAACGGUCAUUAAAAAUAACAGCUUCAACGCAAAUCAGGUGCUUGUUUACUUUCGCCUUCGCACGGGCCCCAGCGGACUCUUCGCACCCAUCCCGCUGCCAAGUGCUGUAGGCGCAGAGAGUAGAAAGACUCCAUUCGGAAGCAUUAAAGAGACAAUCGACUCCCCUUGCUGCAGAGCCUUGGCUGUCUGGAUCAUCCUGCGGGCUGUCACCGUCGGCAUGUCAGCCAGUCACACAGCUACGAAUAGAGCCGCGUGCUUCUUGCUCACUAACAAUCAGUGGCACCAUAUUUAGCAAGGUGUAGCGUGCCCACCAUUCCCAGGUAUCGCAGCGUACUGUACCGCAUUCAAGCAGCUGCAGCCCAGGCACUAAGUGAAUCGGUUUGCCAAAGGUCUGGAAACCCAAGUGGUUUGUGGACAUCGGGGUCGGCAGUCUGAACGAUGCUGCAUAUACCGGUUGGCAGUGACUCGAAAGCGUCUGUCUGCUUUCGGUCGUAAACAUCUGUCUGCUUUUUAUUCCUUCUUUUUUUUUUAAAUUCUAAAAUAAAAAAUUUGGAAUCUCGUGUAUUUUAAUUAAA